This 75-nucleotide small RNA is filed under the name Xanthomonas campestris pv. raphani. Its description in RNAcentral is "sX9 sRNA". It matches the Rfam family "Xanthomonas sRNA sX9". The record is from RNAcentral. Lineage: Bacteria; Pseudomonadati; Pseudomonadota; Gammaproteobacteria; Lysobacterales; Lysobacteraceae.
AUGUACCCCCGUACACUCCGGUCCCUUCGAGCCGUCCGCACCCACCUGGCGGCUGCUCGCUACGUUUUGUUAGCC